RNAcentral lists this ribosomal RNA (578 nucleotides) under Nonomuraea sp. 3-1Str. RNAcentral's name for it is "partial 23S ribosomal RNA". It matches the Rfam family "Bacterial large subunit ribosomal RNA", at positions 1083 to 1555 of the family's 2925-position model. Lineage: Bacteria; Bacillati; Actinomycetota; Actinomycetes; Streptosporangiales; Streptosporangiaceae. The record is from RNAcentral.
GCAGAGACAACCAGGAGGUUGGCUUAGAAGCAGCCACCCUUGAAAGAGUGCGUAAUAGCUCACUGGUCAAGUGAUUCCGCGCCGACAAUGUAGCGGGGCUCAAGUACACCGCCGAAGUCGUGGCACUGACAGUUCCUUUGGGUGCUGUUGGUGGGUAGGGGAGCGUCGUGCAGCCGGCGAAGCAGCAGAGUGAUCUAGUUGUGGAGGCUGUGCGAGUGAGAAUGCAGGCAUGAGUAGCGAAUCGAGGGUGAGAAACCCUCGCGCCGGAUGACCAAGGGUUCCUGGGGCAGGCUAAUCCGCCCAGGGUAAGUCGGGACCUAAGGCGAGGCCGACAGGCGUAGUCGAUGGACAACGGGUUGAUAUUCCCGUACCCGCUUCAAUGCGCCCAUAUCGAACCUCGUGAUGCUAAGAGUCCUUAAGUCCCUAACGCUCUUCGGAGUGUGGGUGAGACUGAACGCUCGAUCCGAUCGGGUAGUAGGUAAGCGAUGGGGUGACGCAGGAAGGUAGUCCAGCCCAGGCGAUGGUUGUCCUGGGGUAAGCAUGUAGGGAGUGAGGUAGGCAAAUCCGCCUCGCAUUAA